GGUUACUAUGUGCAAAAAGAAAACGGUUUUCUUAUUAUUACUAUUAUUAUAAACUCUGGUCCACUCACCUUUUGUUUUUGUGCCCCCUUCAGGACCUAGUGACGAGGAAUACGACUCGAGCAUCGAGGCAUUUCCCUUCUAGUGAUCUUGUUUUCUCCUCACUACGUAUGACCUUUUUAUGUAUAAUUGUAACUUUAUGUCCUUCAUUUCGCUAGCACUAUUGUUUAGUAGUAUGCUCUGGACAUAUUCAUGCAUCCUUUGUUUCGAAUUGUUGACAGUUGGAUAUUCUCCUUAUAUUAUGACUAACGUUAUAUUAUUAUCAUUUCUUUAGCGUUUGUAUAUUCUUUAUGAUUAUUGUUUCUCUUUUGACUUUUCGAUUACAUGCUUCCUUGUGUUCAUGCAUAUUCAUAUAAUUAUGACUUUCGUCAUGCUCGAGUGUCGGUCAGCACGUGUCAUGCAGGUGUCAUUUGGAUAUUUGGGUUGGGGCGUGUCCAUCAAACCUCGAAAUGGCAGGUUGCACGAAGCUACUCUCGUAUGCCAUGUAUUUUGUUCCUUCAUGCUAGUAACUAUGUUGCAGGCUUUGAUCAAGCCCCGUGAUGGGGCUCUGAUACUAAAUGUUAGAAUAAAAAAAGGAUGGAAAAGAGCUCUUGUAAACGCAAAGUCUGAUUACACUUGUAAAUUGGGAGAAUUCUUAUUGAAUUGAAAUAACACUAAUGACUGUUAAAUAGCCUUACAAUGAAAUAGGAAAAAAAAAACAACAACCCACGAUUUUACAUGGCCUAGAAUCCCUCCUAUACUUGAGGGACAAGAUUGUUUUUCCCUUUCUGACUUGUCAUACACCAACAUUCUAGGCCAUGUAAAUUAUUUUUAAAUUAUGUGCUUCUUGAGGUCGUGGAUCCUUGUUUCCCCGUUGAGUAUUUGACUUAGAGAGUUAAAAAUAGGGAUGCCAACUACUACGCAUGCAAUUACGGCACCAAUACGAGAGAGCAGAGAAGCAACAACGGUACCAUCGUUGCCAAACAAAAAAUAGUUAACCAUACUUUGCCUGGGCCGCAUGGGUUCCACUGCUAUCAGGGCUGCAUAAAAUGCCGCCAACAUGCCAGCAAUGGAAUAACUAAUAAGACUCGUAGGUGUGGGUAGAUGGGUUGACAGGACAGAUAUAGGACUGUAUUCGUUAAAUAUCGCCGACACUGAGAGAGCGAAGCAAAGCGUGUUAAAAAACAUAAAUACUUUGUAAGCUCCUUUUUUUGUUAAAACUGGUGUUCCAUCGUCUGUAAACCCUCCAGGCGGGUUCAAAACGGCCGAAAAUGUAACGGUUGCAAUGACCGUCGCUACCAGAAGUUUCGAAUCAUUUCUAUUGAAGGUCUGAGCCAAAUAAGCCUGCAAGUUUUCUCUCGUAUUUUUAGUAUUGACCGGUGUCUCAGACGUACUGCUUUCCCCUUGGGAUCCAAAUUUCUUGAACUCCUGCUUGAUUUUUUGUUGAUAAUAUGGCACGGUAACGACAACGUCUCUUGCCAGGCAGUUCAAAACAUUGCGACUUUUUACGAUUUCCUAAAACAUAAAUAAAGUACUACACUUUUAGUAAACAUAUACAGGACUUAAGAACAAUAAGGUAACGAAUUUGGAUUUAGAUAUGUUCUGCGUUUGAUUCUAUCCAAUAUAAGAAAAUAAAAUAGAGAGUUCAAAGUUGAAAUCCAAGGGAAAUAAAUAAAAGAUUCUUCCCGUGUUCUCGGCGAGCAAAAUGUCGCUAACUUGCAAAAAUUCUUUAUUGAUAGCAGUUCUGUUCAACCUCCUGUCUCUCCUUAAAAUAGCAACGAUUUCACUAUUUUCAUGAAUAGCAGCUAGAUGCCAAGGAGUGUUUCCAUCAUUAUCUGCUUCGUUUAUAAGUCUCGCAAGCCUAGGCGUCUUCAAAACGUACACUUCACAACAUUUAUCUUUUCGCCUAAAACUGCUGCAUGUAGAGCUGUUUGGCCCUUGUGAUUGACACAAUCACAAAUAUCAGGACAACGUCCGAUCAACUCUUCAAUUAUUUGGGUGUGCCCUGCAUAUGCCGCGACGUGGAGAGCUGACAUGCCAAGCUCGUCUUUGAUGUAACAAGCAAAUUUGAAAGUUUUGCAAUUUUGAAUCAGUAGUUGAGCUGCUUUAAGGUUCCCUCUCAGUGAUGCGUAGUGUAAUGGAGUCCACCCUAUUUCAUCACGAACUUCGACCAUCCCAGGAUUUUUGGUAACCAUAGAUUGCACAAUUCCUAAAAUGUUGGUAUAGAAAAAUUAGAAAUUGUGUUGCGGGAAUCAAGUAUAUAUAUGAAAAUAAGGCAUACCAAGUAACGAGUCCCUUAAGAAGGAUCUUGCGCAACGGUAGCUGGACUGAGAUGCAUAUCUCAAUCAUUAAGGAUAUAUUAUCGACUGUCAAUAUGUCAUACUCGAUAACUAAGUUGAUUAUACAGUUAUAUGUUGAUGGGAUUCCGUGCAUAAGAAGGGUCUAGUACGGUAGUACCAAGCAAUGUCAUGAAGUUAAUUACCUUUCUUGGCGAAGGGUAUACGAGUGGCUGCUGCGUGCAAAGCGGUCACACCAUUUGUUCCCUGAAAAGAAAGAGAUUCAUGAUCCGGAGUCUUUUUUAAAAUAUAAUCAGCAAUGCUGGUAGACCCGGCUCUAACAGCUAGGAACAGGGGUGACUCCUUGGUGCUGUAAAAUGAACAACACAAUUCAGGAUCAGCACUCAGCAAAAUCUUCGCUACUCCAGCAUGAUUGUAUCGAACAGCAACAUGCAGUGCUGUAUCCAUUUCCAAAUUAGGCAUUCGGAGUAGCUUUUUGUAAGCUUCACCGUCAGUUGGUUCCUUUUCUGGAUCAAGAUCAACCACUUCCAUAGGUUCCGCUUUUAUGUGCUCAAUGAGGAACGUUACUACUUCACCGCAACCUACUCUCGCGGCAACAUGUAGAGGAGUUUCGCCAUUCUUGUUGGUGGCCCAAAACCGGGGAGAUUCGGGAAUUUUUUUCACUUUUUUGAAGAAGUUUAUUUGCUUGAAUUCAGCUGCAAUGUGAAGAAUAUUGUUCUCUUUAGGUGUUUUCUGAGAGAGAUCAGCUGUUAGAAGUCCUUCCAAGAAGCCAACAUCACCAGUUGCAGCUGCUUCAUACAGAGAAGGAUUCAUGCUUCCACCUCUCUCUCAGAUUUCCUAAAAAGUAUAACGUUGAAAUAAGAACACAAAUGCAAAUUGCAAUGGAGGAUUUGUGAACCAUAUAUAGGUCACUUACAGGAGGUUGCCAAUUGCAUGCCAAGUAGGCAAGUAGCCAUGCCAAGUAGGCAAUGCCUACUACCAUUCAAAACACUUGUGCCGUCCACCAUUCAAAACACUUUGUUUAUUUUUUCUUCUCUUCUUGUCAGUAACCCAUUCAAAACUUUUAUUUUUUAUAUUAUUUUUCUUUCUUUUUCCCACAUGGUGCCGGGCACCAUUCAAAACUCUUUGUUUAUAUUAUUUUUUAUCCUUUUCGGUGUCAGAAAACAUGUGCUUGUGUUUAUCUCCUAACAUUUUUUAAUCUUAGAUUUUUGUCCACUACAAACCUUAUCCAAAGCAGAUGAGAGACGUGAGGCAGGGAAGGACAAAACAGACUUCUUGCUGUAGCAAAGUGUGAACAGUACGGAACCAAAGCAGAAACCAAGUGCAUUCCCGCUCUUUAACUGUUGGUGAACAGUACACGCUCUCACAUAAUGAACAGUGCCAAUCAACUGGACUUUAGCAUGUAUAAAUAUAUAUACACACACAUAUAUAUUAUGGUUGUUGUAUUUUAUAGUUAAAUUUUAUUAAUAAUUUAAAAAAUUAAAAUCAUCGAAAUAAUUUUUUUUUAACGUAUCAAAACGAUUUACCAACGUGUCAUCCUCGGAUAAACUUGUUAAGGAUACAUUAUUAAUAAGUUCUUAUCGUGUAAUCCAAUAACAACCUAAUUAAUUAUUGUGUUGAUCCAAAAUUCUUUAUUUUUAUGUUUAUGUGUCGUGUUAACAAAUCAUGUAAAAAAAAUGUCCGGUUUACUUUUCAACUUUAAAUUAUUAAUUCGUUCAAUGUUGGUGUCUUUGUCUUUUGGGUUAAAAAAUGCACUGUCAACUAUCAUUGUCAUCGAAUAGUCUGUCAGUCUUCCAAGGAAACUUGUAAGUAUUUUCGUCCGGAAAACUGCCAAAACCAAGAUCACAAUUUCUGUCAAAGUAUUCCAUAAACGUGAAUAAUUAGUGAAUUAAUGCGUUAUAUGAAAAUGCAUACAUUUACUAUUUGGUCUUGGCAGAAAUUGUGAUGCAAUUUCUGGAACGAGAAUUCUCUCCGAAUUCUCUUUGUGAGGAUUCCGAAAAUUCUUCAAUCAUGUCUGUUCAUCAUAUAUGAUAUGAUCAUUUUUUGUCAGGUAUUAUUUGUAUUUAAUUUUAAAUAAAAAAAUUAAAAUACUUUCUGACAGCACGAUAUAUGAUAAACGGAUACGAUUAAAAGAUAUAUGGAAUCUUCACAAAGAAGAUUAAAAAAGAAUCCUCAUUCCGAUUUCUGAAUGGACUUGUCAAAGUCCCGUGUUGUCUCCUACCAUGAAAUUCAAACAUGUCACAUGGGCUCAACGCACUUAGCUUAAACUAGAAAAUGUGUGCGUGCUUUGUUGCGGACAUUGAAUGUAUUAUCCACAGACACACGUGAAUAAUUUCCACACAAAGUAACUAAAAAGAUGGGGUAUUACCUAAGAACCAAUGAAGUGAAACUUUGCUUGCUAUGUAUGGAUAUGCAUGCUAUAAGAAACCAUUCAUUUGUAGAUCAUAUUGCGUCAUCAGUAUUAUACUCAUACUCUCAGGUGAUCAGCCUACUACAUGAGAAAAACACAGAAAAGGCAAAUCACAAAAGUAGAAGACAACAUUUGAGCAUCUAGCAAGAAUAGUUAGUUUUUGAAAAAAUUGCUAAACAGUCUUACAAAUUCAAUUGUUAAAUGUUACACUAUGACCUAAGAUAAAAAUAAAGUAUAGGAAACUUUAACGAAAAAUCACAUUUUUACACUAAAAAGUCAAUCCUAAUACUAUUCCCUUUACCCUUUAUUUUGUCUUUAUCGUUAAAACUCAGUUUUCAAAUCAUUUUCAUUAGUUUUCCUUAGUUUUCCUUGAAGUUAUAUAGUUCAUUCACAUAUCAAAACAAAGUGCGAUCAAAGGAAAAUGAUUAAGAAGUUGAAAAUACAAAACUGGAUUAGGCAACCAUAUCUUUUAUCGGUAACUAAACAAAUAAUUUAGAAUUGUACAAACCCGAUUCUAGCUCAUCUACCUCCUCUCAUCCUCAGCUCUGUAUUUCAAAGGCUGAGUAGCCACGUUUGGAGAAGUUAUCAAAUAAUCACCAUCUGAAGAUUGAGAAUAACCUCCAUUCACAUUGCAAAUUUUUUUUUAGAAAAUGGGACAAAUUAACAUAUUUAGAGUUAAUUAUUCUGAUGCAAACAUUCUUAAGAUAAAUUAAGUAGAAAAAAUGUAACGAAUCCAAUGAAAAAACAGAAGGAAAAUGAUUUAAAGAAAAGUUAAACUUUAAAUACAUCACAUUAGUGAUUAAUCAACUAGAUAGUUAGUCUCAAACCAGAGUCUCAAUGAUCUCGCAAUACCAGGGACAUCACUCUCCCUGUUAACUCUCAACUACCUCAACUCCAUCACUCUCCCCCCCAUUGUUUCUAAUUCACCUCUCCUUCGAACUCUUCGACUACAAAUUUAUAUAUAGCAACUUGAACUGUCCAUUUCAAAUCAUAUAUACAUAGGCAGAAAAGCAAAAACUAAAUUCCUGCCGCAUAAAUUAAUUGGUAACCAAACAAAGAAAAAUUCUUGGAGACUGGAACAAAUCCAAUUGAAUUUUCAUGAAACGUAUACUUAAGUGCCCAAAAUUUGAGUUUUACAUCAUAUUAUGUUCUUACAAAAACAGUUUCUCGGCUGCUAGGUAAUUUCUGUGGCUUUUGAUCAAUAGUUGUACUUAUAUACCCAAAAAAAUAAAAUAGUCAAACACAAAUGAAAGAAAGACCUAUCAAAUUAAUAAGAAAUCCAAGUUAGAGUUGUUAAAAUUCACUUUUAUCUAUACAAUUCAAACUUCCACACAUUUGUUCAUACACUUCACCAACUGUCAAACACUGCUAAUUACCAAGAUAGCAAGAUAAUGAAUUCUGUGAACAAAAAAAUGAAAAAUGAUAUGCAAUUUGAACUUACAUGCCAAAGAAGCUCCAUAAGAGUAGUAGCUUCCUACUUAUUGCAUGCAUCAAAAGCAUUGCAACCGCAGAUCCUGAAAAUUAUCAAAAUUCAUCGAGUCAAGAGGCAAUAUCAUAGUUGUGUGAAGGUGAAUAUGCAACCAAUAAUCUAAGAUAUACCUGACAAUUUUGCAAUUCCGUUGUAAUUUCACACAAAAAAAAUAUCAAAUUUUGAUUCAAACAUCAAACAAAAUAAUCCCACCUGUUACAGAUUGGACCAACGAAAUAAAGAAUCUAUUAAUAUGAUUUUCAACCUAACUAUAAAAAGGAGCUUUAUAACUAUCAAUAUAAUUUCAACCCAUCUGAAAAGAAACUGAUUGUGUGUCAUAAAUUCUAUGGGUAAUUUGAUUUUGCAGAUUAAAAAGAAUUGAAGAAUACUAAAAAUUACAAAACCCUAUCACAACAUACCAUCAGCGAUGAAUUAAAUCCAAAUGUAAACUGCAGUUUCUUAUAGAGCAUAUCCAAAAGUAAAUUGCAGUUUCCUAUCUCUCCGAGCAUCUAAACAGAAACUGUAAUUCAAAACUCUGAUUUCAAUAACCCAAAAAGUUUAAAUUGCUUACCGUUCUCUUGACUGUGGAUUACAUUAAGUAUAUGGAGUUUAAAAUUUAAAAACAAAAAGACAAAAAAACAAAAAAACAGAUAACAAAUAGGGAGUAAGAUCAAACAGUGAGUGGUUCAAUUAACCUUUUUCUGUUGGUCGCGUCUGUGAAUCCUUUAAUUUGCAGAAUGAGCUUGGGAACUCUUCCCAAAACUCCCACAAUCAACGCACCUGCGUCAAAAGGGAAAGGAAAAACAGUUGAAUAUUUGAACUGCACCAAACAGAUUGAUUGAUAAAAAAUAAACGAACAUGACACGACCAAUGAAUUUCACCAAACGGGAAGUAAUAAAAUAUUGGACACUGAAUGAGUUGGAAUAAAAACACAACUGCAUUUUCUUAUUCUUCUCCCACAUUCAUGAGGCUUCUUUUUCAUCUUUUUCUCUUCUAAUUUCAAAGAACACAACAAUUAGCACAGCCUGCUAUAAGGUAGAGGAAGCAUAUGAGUCUCCUCAAAAUGGAUGUCCAAGGCUGACCCUUAUGCAGAAGGAAGCAUGGGAAGCAUAAAUGGGAUAUCAAGAGACGAUCUCAAGUAAAUUUGCAACACAAAACCCAACCAGCAACAAUUUGUUCAUGACAUCUUAAAACAUCAAAUUUCAAAACAGGACAUUUAAUGCAAAGAGCUCAAACUAUAAUAAUUGGUGAAUCAAAUAUUUUCUAUUGAAUUUAUCCUUUCAAUUGGUUGGUAUUUUCGUUUAUUCUCGUAUCUUUCAAUUGUCACCCAAAACUAACAUCUGAGAGAGCAUUGCACUUCUUAUCUUUAAAAGCACGAAUGGUGAACUAAAUCAAAGAAUAAGAAUCAGCAAUGAACUAAACAAAAACACACUUUUUACGAACAUUAUUCGCACAAAAAUUAAAACUGUAUUGAGAAACUCACCACCCCAUUUCUAAUGAAUGACGUAUGAUGAUAGGAACAUCAUACGGUGAAUUGCAUAUAAAGUAAAACAUCAAGUAUACCUCGAGGCGACAUUAGAUACGAUCAUUAUCCAAUCUUCAUCUUUGACACCAAGAGCACUCAGCAUCUCAGAAUUCCUCAUCUCCCUACCCUCACAUAGCAACUUCUGCUGCUGAAGUAGUACCCGUGUCUGCUCAUACGCAUCGAAAAACAUCACACAUUCAAUAUACAUUUCUCUAUUAAUUAAUCAGCUAACUAAAUUUAAAAUUAGUUUUCAAACCAAAAAAAUUUCUAAAUUUUUUAUUUUGCAAUCACACCCAGUUCUUCAUCUCUUACUCUAAAUUCCAAUUACAAAAAAAUCUAAACUUUACUUCAAUUUAAUAUUGUUUUCCCCAAAAACAGCACAAUCCCAUAAAAAUAAAGUUUAAAAAAAACAACAAUAAAUCAUGAAUUAAAUUAAACUUCUCACCUCCACCUCCAACAUAGCUUUCACAUUCUCAACCUGUCAUAAAAAAAAUCAAAUCAAAUUCAAGUAAAAAUAAAAAAGAGAACUUGAAUAAAGCAACCCUAGUCCACCCAGUUCUUCGUCUCUUACUCUAAAUCCCAAUUACAGAAAUAUCUAAACUUUACUUCAAUUUAAUAUUGUUUUCCCCAAAAACAGCACAAUCCCAUAAAAAUAAAGUUUAUAAAAAAAACAACAAUAAAUCAUGAAUUAAAUUAAACUUCUCACCUCCACCUCCAAUAGAGCUUUCACAUUCUCAACCAGUCAUAAAAUAAAUAAAUAAAUAAAUCAAAUCAAAUUCAAGUAAAAAUAAAAAAGAUAACUUGAAUAUAGCAACCCUACUCCCCCUCCUUCUCCCUCUCCCUCCGCAAUUCACGCGUGCACCCUCUCCCUCUGUAACCCUCCCCCUGUGAAACCCCUAAACCCCACGCAUAUGCCCUAUAUCUUGUGGCUACAACCUCACAAAUCGUCCCCAUCACCUCGAUCCCAUCGAACCACAAAUCAGGCACAAUUUAUGAGAGUAAUUGUAAAAAUGGAUAAAACACUUUCAAUAAAAGUUUUAUAAAAAAAGCUUUUCAAUCCAACACCAUCCAAAACCAUAAAAGAACAGAAUAAAGACACCAAAAGUAAAAAAUAAAUAAAUUUCCACAUAUUCAACUUUCACAGUAUAGAAACACACAACUUUCACGAUAUUAAAAAAAAAAAUUGUUGGAGAAAAGGCUCAAAGGAAAAAUCCAAAAUUAUUUACCUUGAGCAUAAAGGGCUUUGAAAGAUGUAAACAAAAGCCCCAAAAAAACGAAGAGCAUAGUGACCUGAAAUAAAAAAAUAAAAGCAAAUUAUACAACCGAAAGAUCUAAUGAUAUAAACAAAAUACCCAAAAUUAUAAAAACUAAAUUACAAAAAAUGAAGAACAAUGUGUUCUGAAACGAAAAAAAAAAGAAAAUCAUAUGCCCAAAAUUAUAACGGACGAUUUCAUAUUUUGUAGAUAGAUGACACUCCCUUUUGUCAUGUAUGAUAAAUAUUCAAAGUUAUAACAUCUCAAUUCCACAUAAGGCAGUACACAAACCUUUGGAGAGAUGCCAGUGGACAGUCAAAAGCUGGGUCUCGUGUUGUGGCAACGACUCAUGCUGCUGUUCAUCGAUCACUGCAAAAGAACGCAAAGUUCUAUAUUGCUAUAGUACAUACUAGAGAUUUAUGCCCACGCGUUGCUGCGGGAUUGGAAAUUGUAUCAAAUGGUCUAGAUUAAAACAAUCAAUUCAAUCAAGAUCCAUAUUCUCAACAAACAAACUGUAACGGAGAACGUGAUAGGAUUUGAUCACAAUGCACAGCGGAAUCAACAACUAAUAUUCAACACUACACAAUCCAAAACGGUAAUGAUAUUAAGUUUUUUUUUAAACCUGAUUGUACUAAGUGAUUCUUUCAAUAAUAUGAUAAAUUAAAUAAAAUGAUCACUACCAAUAGUUUAGAUUACAACAAUCAAUUGAAUCAAGAUCCAGACUCCAACAGGACAACUAAAAGCAAAGAGUUGAGAGAAGAAACAACACAAAUGACUGGUUCCCCGAAAACCAUUUAAGUAGAGUUAAAAAAAAGGGGUUAGUCAUGACCAAAUUUAAGAAGUCACUAAAACCAAAGCUCAAUUGCAAACCUCCUUGUAUUCCAUGUAUGCAAUGACUCUACUAAUAUGUUCACAGUCAUGUUGACCUGUAUAAAGAAAAACUCAUUUAGUUCAUAGCAAAUUGUGAGUCAUUCUGAAUAUAAAAACUUGCUUUUUCAAUCACCCAUCUAAAUAAAAAAAUCAACUCCAAAAUUGAUGGUCAGAAGUAUAACUAAAUGAAAUGGGAAAACAGUUCAAGAACCUGCCAAUGUCAAGUACUAUGACUUUGUGGGAUUAAAAAUUGUAUGAAAGAUUGUGUCAUAGAAUAUUACUAAAAUUUACAUUGAAAACGUUAGAAAUUUUUUUACAUACAAUAUACUCAUUUACAAAAGAAAACAGAGCCACUGAAACGAACAGGGAUAUCAACCAAUCAUCGCAGUACAAAACCAGUAAAUACAGCAUUCACAGAACUGAGUGACUCUUACACAAUCCAAACAUAGAAUUUUAGCUUGUUGGUAUCAGAUGAUUAACUCUAAUUACACUAACGCGGACACUAUCUCUGAAGAAAACUAAAGAGAAGGACAAAAGUUGUGAAGAGUUAUCAACCAAAGUACAAAGACCAUAAAGCAUGAAAUGUUAAAGAAGAGCAGAUUUCCUCGCAACUGAUGCAUAUUGCUGUCAUAGCUCUGAGAAUAGCUAACCAAACCAAUCUAACUCUAAAGGCAGCCAUCAUAAAUUAGAAAGCUCAUUCGACAAAAGGCUAUAUUAAAAAAAGGUUCAUGUAUAUGCCCAAUUAUACAAACAAUUUUGCUAAGGAAUGCCUUUCCAACCUCCUCCUACAGCAACAGACUCUGCAUGUACAAUUUGAUAGUGUUUCUACCAGAUAAUAUAGCCAAUGGGAUUAACAAUCAUUAAAGUUGACCCUCCACUACAACUAUACAUUCUGCUAUACAUUCAUUCUCUUGCAAAACGUUCAAAAGGAUGAUAGAAAAUCUUGUGUAUAUAAAUUAUAGCCGAUGGUAUAUGUCAGUUCUCUUCUACCAUUACAACCAAUGAGAUAUAUACAUUCUCUUCUACCAUUAAGAUAUAUAAGAAAAUAACUAUUUAACUGAAAAUGAAGAUCUAAAAGCUAGCCACUGUACAUGUUCUGUCCAUUCUAUUCUACCAUUGAAGCAUGCAUGUUAAAAAAAAUUUGUAAAUCUAAACGCUUAUUUCAAACAGAGCAUGUCCAUUCAGCUCUUAAAACCGAAAGAAAAGAUUUAGGUUUCUUUCUUACCCAAAUCCACCAAUUUGAAUCAAAUCUCUGCAACCCUUCCAAUCAAAUGCAAAUUAAUACAACUCUGCAAUCAAUAAACAAAACCCACAUAAAAAAUUCAACAAAGAAAGAGAAUCCAGAAACCAAACCUAUCAAUCAAUUCCUAAAUCAACAAUAAAAAAAAAUCAAUAAAUUAGUAUCUAACUCCACAAAUAAACAAAGCCCAUAUCAAAUAAUUCACAAAAAUUUAUUACAACUAAAGAAUUACCUUCCAAGGGAUGGAGAUUCCAAGUAGGCUUCCAAUAAUGAUCUGAUCGAUAAGAAAAUACUUGUAGGUCAUGGGAUAUCACUUUGAGAUUUUCAUGGUUUACCUUUUCUUUUAAAAUGGGUUAAUACGUGAUCAUCCAGUCCUCCAACUUUCUGUUUCUCAAUCUUCUGCAAGAGGAUUGAAAUCAGAACCAUUAAGUUUCAGAAGAAACAAAGUCGACAGGAAAAAAAUGGUGUCUCCUACAUCAAACAAUGAAAAUGCAAAUUCCUUGGGCGUAAAAGAAGGGAAGCGUGGAAUGCUUACUCAAGCUCAAUUGAAGUUGAAAGGGUCAGAGACAGAAACAGAAGCCAAGGAGGAGAAAUAACGGUCAACGCCAAAUUUGUGGGUGAGGCGAGUUCGAGAGCGAUAGAUUCAGAUUUUUUUUGUUUUGAAUAUAUAUACAACUAAUUUACCAUUCAAUCAUAUUAGUGGAAAACAAUUAAACCGUAAAAUUAACAACAAUUAAAUCUUAGGAAGACCAAAUUUCCUGUAAUUUAAAAAACCCAUAUGAAAAGCUGUAGACAGUCACCAUCCAAAACCGUAAAACAACACAACAAAGACACCAAAAUUAAAAAAUAAAUAAAUCCCACAGAUUCGACUUUCACACUAUAGAACACACAACCUUCACAAUAUUAAAAAAUAAAAUUUGUGGCAGAAAAGGCUCAAAGGAAAAAACCAAAAUUAUUUACCUUGAGCAUAUUAACGGCUUCCAAGCUUGUACACAGAUUCCCCAAAAAAUGAAGAUCAAAGUGACCUGAAACAAAAUACAGAAGCAGAUCAUACAACCAAACAACAUAUCUAAGGAUAUAAACAAAACACCCAACAUUACAAAAACUAAAUUCCCAAAAACGUAGAGCAACGCGUUCUGACACGAAAAACACAAACAAAUCAUCGACCCAGACAACGGAUCUAAUGAUAUAAAGAAAAUACCCAGAAUAAGAAAAGAAAAGAAAAAAAGUCAUUCACAAAUCCCACCCCAACAUGGAAAACUACCAAAAAAAAAGUCAUUCAGAAAUGAAGAUAAAUAGAACCUUAAUAUGGAAACUGAAGCUUUACCUGCAGAUCGGCAACGGCAAAUGAAAUCCAGCGGGUACCUCUAGAGUGAGAGAGACUUACAGGGAUCGCAGACAAAAACAGAGAAUAACACCAAAAAAAUGGGUACUGACUCGGGUUUUAAACGCAAGAUGCAGCAACUAUUUAUUUUUCAAAGCGUUUUAAACGCAAAAAAUUUGCACAGAUGAUUUGGCUAAGAAAAAUGAGAAAGAUGAGAAAAUCGAAAACGGAGAAAACGAAAGCUUGAGAGAGAAAGAAAGGCAGGCGGAAAAACAGGGUGAGGGGUGAGGGGUGAGGGGUGAGGGAGAGAGAGAGGGGGACAGAUGGGAGAGGCAGAGAGCAGUGAGGGAUGAGAGAGAGUGACAAUGUUGGGAGAUGGGGAGUCUCAGGGGUGGAGAAAAUAUUAGAUAGCAAAAACCAAACACACUUUUCAUAUGUUCUAAUCAUUUUUUUUCUCUCUAAACCAAUUUUUUUAUUAUUUGUUAUCCUUUUCGAUGUCAGAAAACAUGUGCUUGUGUUUAUCUCCUAACAUUUUUUUAAUCUUAUUUUUUUGUCCAAUACAAACCUUAUCCAAAGCUGAUGAGAGACGCGAGGCAGGGAAGGACAAAACAGACUUCUUACUGUAGCAAAUUGUGAACAGUACGGAAACCAAAGAAAAAACCAAGGGCAUUCCCGCCCUUUCACUGUUGGUGAAUAGUGCACGCUCUCACAUGAUGAACAGUACUAAUCAACUGGGCUUUAGAGCAGCUCCAGCGGGAGCUCGUGCUCGAGGGACAGGCUGCGGAACAGGACUUGAUUGCCCGAGGGAAGAAGUCCAGCGUUGGCUGACGAGGGAGCCCAAGCAGGACCGAGCGCCAGACCCGUGGAUUCGUGCCGGCCCGAGCGCCCAAAGGGGAUGUGACGUGGGUUGACGUCCCUGACAUCAGCCACAAUAUAAAAUUAAUAAAAAUACAAAAAUAUUAAUACAAAAUACAAAAUUAAUACAAAAUUUAAAAAAAAUGAAAACCCAGGCUUCGAACUCAACGGCUCUCGCCGGAGUUCGUCGUCGAGGUUGAUGAUACACCCACAAACAAAUGGCAGAGACUAAACCCAAGGGUUUCAACUCGAAACAUAUAAAAAAACAAGAGAAUAACUCAAGCAAUUGAAGUAGGGCAAUAACCUCAUCUGGGUUUGAGCAAUGGAAGCUUGAAGCUCUCGGCUUCAAUGGUGGAUCACCCAAAUGGUGCUGUGAUGAUGCAUGCAAGGAUAUAUUCGAAUUCCUCUCAUCCAGGGGAUUGAGAUUUCAGAGUUUGUUGGUUUGAUUUGCUUCGGUUUCGAAGAAGAGGAAGGAUGAAAAGGAAAAUGAAGGAUAUAUGGAUUGGAAUCUAAGCUUAUGCCUUGGCGUCGGUCCAUUUUUUUAUUCAUAUGAGAGAGAGAGAGAGAGAGAGAGAGAGAGAGAGAGAGAAUAAGAAAAGGGAGAGUGUUCUGGAAAAAAAAUGAAAAGGAAGAGUUCUGGAAAAAAAAUGAAAAGGGAGUGUUCUCUAAAAAAAAUGAAAAGGAAAAGGAAUAGGAAAAAGGAAAAAAAUUAAAAAUUAUUUUGUAUUAUUUUAUAGAUAAAAAAACUAAUAUUUUAUUACCUAUUGCCAAGGCUAUUCAAGUGCAACGGUAGAGAUGCAAAAGGCAGUUACUGUUCAUUAAGGGCGAUUACUGUUCACAUAGUGGAUUGAAUAGUGAAUAGCCUGGGGAAAGGGCUCCUGGAGUAGCUCUUAGUAUAUAUAAAUAAAUAUUGAAUCAAUUCCAAAAGGGUAUUUAUAGUAAAAAAUAAGCCUCAUAUACUUUUUCUUAGAAUGUCAGCCCCAUACUUCUUCGUAAAAACAUUAACAGUAGCUAUAGCCUGUAAAAAUAGAAAAUCAAUUAUUUACCUGCAUCAUCACAGAAUGGCAGCCACAAAAAUUACCCAGGUAAAAACUGAAUGGAAAAAUUACCUAUCUAAUGCCUUCAGAGAGGCAUGAGAUCUUUUAUCAGUGCAAAAUUGAUUUGACAUCAUUUUGUAAAAAAAAUUAGAAAGCAUAAAAUAGAUGAAAAUUAAGGCUUACAUGGUGAACAUUAUUUUUUUGCUUGUCAUACCAUUGAAUUUUUAUUGCAUUCGCAGAUGAUAUACAGGGGUUGUCAAAGCAAAAGAUAUAUGUUCUCAAAUUGUUAAUGGAAAUGGAAACACAAAGGAAAACAGUUAUUCAUAUCUAAUGACCAAAUAAAACAGGUGCAUAAUAUAUGUUCUAACCAAAUAAAAGUAGGCCGACUUGGUACCAUUUAAGAAAGCCCGAUCCGCAUUCACCACAUCUACAUAUAGUAGCAUUUAUGGGAAACGUGAAAAUCAUUGUUGAUAUAUCAUAUAUCAACAACAAUCCUUAUAGAGAUGUGACAACAAACCAACUUGAACGAAAUGUAGUCAGAUCGAUUGGCGAAAGUUAUUAUCCAUUUCGUAUCCUGCUUUAGCACUGGAAAGAGAUGCUUUAAAAUAUUUGCUGCCCUUUCACCCAACUAUGAACAAUCAAGAAAAGAAAAUCAUAUUCAAUAGAACAGUAACUACGCACGCCAACUCAUAAAGAUGUGCUGAUGCAGUGAUAUCAGUGUGCAUAAGAUUAAGACGUAGCAGGAGUGGAUGGAUCAUAAUUAAUAAGCAUUAAUCAGGGAUGGAGAGAGAAAAAGAGAGAAAGAGAGAGAGAUAGAGAGAGAGAAUUAUAUCACAAUCAAGGUAGGUUAUCAACUAUAAUCAAUCAUCCUCAUCCCUGAACCGUUAUAAACUAUCUCUAAUUGGAUCAAUGGGGUCUGAUCAAUCUUGGCAUAAUGUACGGAGUAAAGUAAGCAAUCAAGAUGCUGAAAUAUUUAAUUGAGAUAUAAUACCUUGGUUGUGAAACUGUCAAGUAUCAGAUGUGGAUAAACAUGCAUUCACGUGGCUUCCCUUUCUCCAGCCAAAACCACACAGCAUCAUGCUCAUCCUCUGCGAUUAAAAUACAACAACGAAAAAAUCAAAAUGAUAGCAAUUCAAAAUUUAAAAGAAUCAUUUUUUUUAAAUGAAUCAGUGAGCAAGCAUAGAUUUGCACAUAGAAAGAGAAAAGAAACAAGGAAGAUAUGAAUACCCACUCUCUGUCACCCAUCUGCAAGCCCACCCACCCUGUCAACCAAACUGUUUGAGAUGGACGAAACCCCAACCCCCAACUCUCCUAAGGAUGCAAUCAGAGCUUCGGGUUUCAGGAAGCAAAUGAAAAACGAAGUGCGUUUUCAUCCCCCACCCUUUCUACGAUCGUCGACACGUGCACGAGAGAAGCGGUGGCAAUUUCGUAAAUAAAUCAAAAUUUUCAAUCUGAAACGGAAAGGGUGGUGGCAAUUUUGUAAAUAACUCAAAAUCCACCCCAAGUCACUGUUCAUUUGUACAGUGCAAUUUCUUCUUCUUCUUCUUUUUUUUUUUUUUGGACAAAGGCUUACUUUAUUUAUUGGGUAAAUAUCAGUUUACUACUCUCAAGUUUCGUGGUUUUCAACAUUUGGUAUAUGAAGUUUUUUUCGUCUCAGAGUCAUACCUAAAGUGUUAAUUUUGGGACAGUCUCCUACAUCUGUUAGUUUAACUAUUAAAUCAGCAGUUAACUGAUGACGUGGCACCAUGUAGACAAUGACUGGGCGCCACGUGUCAAUAUAACGCCCACGUGAAUAUUAAAAAAUUUAAAAUUAAAAAAAAAAUCUAGGCACCCACCCAUUCUCCUUCCCCCCCUCCCUCUCCCUUCUUCUCCCUCCCUUCUCUUCCAUGCACCCAUCGUCCCCGCACACCCACUCAUUCCCCUUAUUCUCCCUCCAUUCUCUCCUCUGCACCCACCCACCUCGCACACCCACCCACCUAAAAUCAAACCACAUAAAAAAACACAAAUUUCCCCCCAAAAUUUCUUACCAUCCAAAUACCCUCUGCUUCCCCCUUUCUCUCUCCUAGGUUUUAUUUGUAUCCCUUACAUCCCACACUUUCUCGCGCUUUCCCGGAAAAAUUUUCAUCUUCAAAUCUUCAACAUGAGGCAAUAGAAAGGUAUGCCGCCUUAUUGGGACCCGCCAACUCCGUUCGUCGAGCUUUCAAAUGAUUCAAAUCGCAGCUGGUUUGGAGAAAGAGAUCGCUAUGAUGAACAGCGAUUUUGGAUUGGAUGGAAAAUCGGAUGCCACUGGAGAGGCUGAGGAAGCUAGAGCUCCGGUUUCCUAAGGCGCGUAGGUAAAGAUGGAGCUAGGUUUUGCCAAUGAAGCUUGAUUCGGGAAGUAAGGUUGGCGGAAGAUCUGAGGAUGAUAGGGCUAGGGUUGGUACAGAGAGUGAAGUUGGAAAUGUAGAUAAAGUGAUGGAAUCGAAUGGUUUUGGAAGCAUGGUGGCAGAGUAAAGGGUCACUCGGGUCUCAUAGGGUUGGAGAGAGAGAGAGAGAGGGCGGAUGGGUGGGUGUGCAAUGUGAGUGGGUGUGCAGGGAGGGUGAGUGCAGAGGAGAGAAUUGAGGGAAAAUGAGGGGAAUAGGUGAGGUGUGCGGCCAGGAUGGGUGCAGGGAAGAGAAGGGAGAUAUGAGGUCGGAAAUGAGGGGGAAUGGGUGGGUGCCCAGAAUUUUUUUUAUAAUUUAUAAUUUAUAAUUUUUUUAAUAUUCACGUGGACCCCAUAUUGACACGCGGCGCCCUAGUCAUUUUUCACAUGGGUGCCACGUCAUCAGUUAACGGUUGAUUUAACAGUCUAACUAACAGAUGUAUAAGAAUGUUCCAAAAUUAACACUAUAAGUAUGACUCUAGGACGAAAAAAAACUUCAUAUACCAAAUGUUGAAAACCACGAAACUUGAGGGUAGUAAAUUGAUAUUUACCCUUAUUUAUAACACAACAUAUUACAUUAUAGAAGGCUCAAAUACAAGAAAUACACAAACAAAAAGAUGAACCUCUAUAGUAACCUAACAGCCCAAAACAUAGUUUUGAGGCCUGAACAGGAAAAACACCAAAGUAAACCCUAGCAGCUUCCUACCUCCGCCGUCAACCCGCUUACCAAACAAACAGCCUCUGCAACCAUCACAAAUCAACAGAACUAAAACCCCAAAGCUGGAUGAAAACGUAUGAAAACAAGACCCCAAAACAGAGCCCCAAACUCUUCCACAGUAGACCAUAACAGUAGCUGACACAAAUUGAAGGAAGCUAGCGGGACAAAACCUAUUAGCAUAGUGGCAACAAAGGCAAACCAAAGGAAGGAGGUGGUGUGAACACUCGAACAAAAGCUUUACUCACCUUCCAGGAGAAGCGUGAAAAAUCACGUUGAAAAAAAGUGGGAGCCAAGCCGAACUGUGAAGUCGGAGAAGGAUAAAGCCGAUCCAGAUUGGGGAACGUGGGGGAAAAUGUAACACCCACCCCCAUUUAUAAAAAUAUAAUUAUGUAAUUACCCCCAAAAUAUUAUGAAUCUAUCAAUUUUGGUCCUUUUUUACUACCAAUGAAAAUCUGAAAACAUUGGAUUCUUUCUUCCUCAAGCUGCCACGUGGCAGCACCCCCUUCACUCCUCUCACUUCUCUCUCUGUCCCCCCCCCCGUGAUCCCCUUCCUUAUUCUUCUUCUUUUUUGUCUGUCCCGUCUCUCUCCCUCUCGGAUAUCUCUCAUUUCUCUCUCUCAUCUCUCUCAUCUUUCUCAUCUCUGCACUGUGAACCCACACACACGCACACCAUCGCACAUGCUCGAAGUAGACACCCAUCACCAUCGCGUCCUGUUCUCUCUCUCUCGUUUCCGCCAACCCAAAAAACCAAAAAAAUGAGCUCCGGCGAGAUUUUUCAAUCUCAGGUUAGGUAAGCGCCAAAUCUUCCCUUUUUCGUCCUAGAAUCUGGUGAAAUGUGGUUUAAUGGAGUUUAUUUCGUUAUUUUUGGAGGUUUUUAGGACGAAUCGAACUCGGGUGUAGGAACACCCAUUUCCGGCGAGCUGUGGGUGUCGGGGGAGAUUCCGACCAUCUUCGGCCGUUCCACGACGAAAUGAAGGUAUAGAAUUACUCCAUUCGUCUUACUCUUCGUUUUGGUACCUAGAUUAGAGUCUAGGGUUGUGUUUGGUGGUCGGCCGGAGCUGUUGAAGCUCCGAUGUUUGUUCUCCUGCGAGACCAGGCCUCCUAGGCCGGUUCCAAGUCAAGCAGGCCUUAGGCCCGUGUGGGGAGUCAAGCCCAAAAUCCUAACCCAAUUUCCUUUUUAUUGUUUUUAUUUAAUUGUUAUUUGUUUUAAGACCCUAAAGGCCUUCGGGCCGAUAAGUUGAAGGCUUGAAGCCCGUGACCCAACCCAAAACCCUUUUUAGGUUUUGUUAUUUUUCUGAUUUAGAAAGAAGGCCUUGGGCCAAUUAGAAAGUGGGUUUUUAGCCCUUUCCCUUUUAAACCCUUUAACCUUAGUUAAGCCCAAAACCCUUAAGGCCCUUAAGGCCCUUUCGGCCCAACCCAAAACCAAAGCCCAGUCUGACCUUUGACAGUUUGACCGUUGACUUUGACUUUGACCGGUCAACGGUCAGCGUUGACUUUUUGAGUUGACUUUUCGGGGUUUCAGGGCCUUUCCUAGGCUAAUUUCGACGUCCUGGACCCGUUUUUGAAGUCUAUUUUCCCAAAUUCAAUCGUUUGAAUAGAGUUUGACUAAAGGUACUCCUUUAUGUGAUUAAGUGCAAUUACUAACGGUGAUUCCGUUAUUCCUUGUUGGUAUAGCUUUGCACCAUCGGUGUAAGGUGAGUGGACCCCUUCUAAAAUGCAUGUUUUAAUAGUAGAAAUGCAUACAUGAAAAACAUGAUUUGAUGAUUACGUUUUAUGAAACGUUUUGUGAGAUAACAUGCUUACUGAUGCUACUUUGAAUUAUUACUAUUUUUCCUAUAACCCGUGUUCUUAUAGAAUAUCUGAUGGAUGACGAUAUGAUAUUUAGAACAUGUUUCGAACACCUCUUUAUAGUAUAGAUGAUGAAUGACUUUAUACUAUGAAGUUGCCUUUCAACAUAUAUAUGUUCAAUGGUUUUGUACUUACCUAGUGGUCCUUUACGCUACGGGAUGUAGGGAUAGAUUCCGGUCCGUCCCAGACGACGAUUUGGUGUUAGCAUAGGGCCUGGAGUGUGUUUUCUCUGGCUAUUUAGCACAAGGACGGGGAGCCGGCAUGGGGCCUGGGGGUUAUCAGACAAUUCACUAAUAAUUAUUAUAUAUACAAGUUAUGAUUUGAGACACUGCACGACAUGCUAGGUUUCGGAAAACCUAUGUUGAUCAUUAUAUAUGUGUUUUCAUAAAACCUGGGGGUUAGUACGUUGAUAACUGUUUUACUAUUUAUAUAUCAAAUUGGUCCACUCAUGUUUGUUUUGCGCCCCCUUCAGGGCUUAGAAUCGAGGCAUACAAUCCCAAUGUCAAGGCACUUCCACAUUGGCAUCUUCGAGUCUUCUUGGUGUAAGAUCCAUUUUUUUAUUCAUUCAAUUUUAUAUUAUUUCUUUUAGUAUUCUAGUUAGUUGUAUGCUCUGAACACGUUCCUUAAAUGCAUAUUCCUCAUUCUUUUACAAUUAUAAGUUUUAUCUAUUCCUUGUUUUCAGCAUUUGCACUAAAUAAAUGGCUUUCGUCACCCUUGAGUGUCGGCCAGCACGUGCCUAUCCUGGUAUUCGGGGAAUAUCGGGGUCGGGGAAUAUCGGGGUCAGGGAAUAUCGGGGUCGGGGCAUGUCAGAAAAGAGGGGGAAAAGGUGGAAGGAAGACAAAAGGAAACAGAAGGAAAAGGCGGAAGAAAAGAAUGAAAGGGAGAAAUUGAAAAAUAGAGUAAAAACAGAGAUAACAGAUGUAGAGGGGUUUGAGUGGCAAACAGGCCACUGGGCGGGGGUAGAAGGAAGACAAAGGAGGAUGAAAAUCAACAAGAGAAGAAAAUAGAAGAAGAAAAGGAAAAUAGAAGAACAUAGCAGAGAAGGGGAAAAUAGAAGAACAUAGCAGAGAAGGGGAAAAUAGAAGAAAACAGAAGAAGAAAAUGAAAAGUGGCAACCAACUCCAGCCGAAGCCGGAGUCGAUGCUUGAGAAGGUGGACAAGUUGAAGACCCUCACCAAAGGGGGAAAGAAAACUCUCACAGAGGAAAGAAGGUCUCUCACGGAAUGAGAGAUUCACUUCUUCCCCUUCUUUAGAUUAAAGUAAUUUGGUGUCCAUUGGUUUCUCAAGUGGAGAUGAGGGAGAGAGAGAUCGAGUUGGGAGUUUGGGAGAUGAGGAGGGUAGGAUUGCCAUAUUGAAAAUUUCAUUAAUGACUACGGUUAACCUGUGUUAUAAAAUAGCUGGUUUUUUUAAGGGAGUUUUAACGAAACACUUCCGGUAUUGUUCACUUAAAUGAAAACGACAAUUUUACUUUAAAAAGUCACUUUGACACUAUUCACUUACAACACUUUUUUGUCAUUUCGAUUAAAGCUUAAAAUUUUCAAGCCAUUAUCAUUAGUUUUCCUAUUUUAAAAAACAUCUAUGAGAGAUGCUUUUAAUAGAAAUUUCCAAGGCCUAACUUUGAAUAUAAUAUUCCAGAUGAAAUAAGUCGUUUCUGCCAGGUGUUGACAUGUGUCAUGUUUGAUGACUUUUCCAACUUAUUUAGAUUUUUUGUUUAGACACACGCUACGCGUAAAAUUUAUGUAAUACAUGAGCGUUGAAACUUUGAUUUAUCGGUCAACAUUUAUUUACUGAAAUUUCGAUGUCUACAGAAACACUUAAAAUAAUUGCAAGAGUACAAGGUAGUUGUAGUAUAGCAGCUCAAACAAAGUCGUUCUCCACAGGGAUUGAAUGAAUAAUUUAUAUUUAAACUAAUCCUUAGCUAAUUAUUUGUAACAAAGUUUCGAAAAUGUCGAUUUUGGAAUUUAAAAUAAUAAAAACAAUUAAAUAAUUUGCAAAGUAAAAUGAACUAAAAAGAAAACGAUUUUAAAAAUCAAUUUAAGCACUAAAGUUCCGCCGUCACCAUUAACAAUCCUAUGCAAUUUUAUGAAUUACAUAUGAAAUUCUACAUACAUGCUUUGAAGGUUAGGUUUUCCUAAUAUAUAUUUUCCUCGUGAUGUUUGAGCGAAAACGUAUAUCUAACAUGCAACUCAUCUGUGAUGUUCAAAUCAAAUAUAAACAUGCAAGCCUCAUUAAGUUUUGUGAAAACCUUUUGAAAAACCAAGCAACCCUUAAGAGCGUGAUGUUCACCUUAACUGAACGUACAAUUACUAAUCACAAGAAGCCAUCCUCAAUUUCAAGGUGAUGUUCCAACAUAAAUUGCAUUAAAUUACUUGUCUAAAUACCCUAAUGGUCGCAAAUCACUAAGACAAUUAGAUAGUUUAAACACGAUAAUUAAUAAUUCAAAGCAAUCAUACAUUCAUUCAUAAGCAAAUUAAUAAAAUCACAUAUUCAUGUUAAGACUCAUGGUCUCGCCCUAGCAAAAAGACUAGUUUCACAUAAUCAUAAUAAAAACUAAAGAAAAUAUCAUUAACUAGAAAAAUAAAUGAAAACACCUUGUAGGUAAAAAAUCUGAAAUUUCCUAAAAUAAUGCGUCUCUCCAAUCCUAAUGGCUAAAUAACCUUAAUUGUACUACUAGAAAAAGUCUUCUAAAAACUAGGAAACAUAAUAGAAUAAGAUAACUUGAAAAUACAUUCAUAUUUUAACUUUGGAAAAUCUGUCCAUCCACAAAGAAUCCCACAUUUCUGCAUCUUUAGGGCUCCAAAACAGGCCCAAAACAACUUGAAUUAAAGAUUAAGACGUCAUUUUCAAGUUCCAAGAAGAUCACAAGUCCAAAAUUCAUCAUCUUGUAGCCCAAAAAGUCGCAAGUAAGCUCUAUAGUCCGAUUUGCCAGCAUUGCGUGCUGGUAUAAAUUAAUUCGCCGAGAUCAGAUGCUUAAGGAUAAAAUUACGAAAUUUUGAACAACCUUCUUGACAGAAUCACGAACCCACUUCAAUUGGAAUCACUCAAAAAUUUCACCAUUUGAUUACUUAAUGCUCAGAACAAGUUCGCACGUCCUACAUUGAAAAUAAUACAAAGCAUCAACAUUUCACCAAAAUAAUAACCAAAAUAUACCAAGAAUGGGAGCAAAUAUAUAGUAUAAAAUCAAGGGAGACUUUGGAUGUGGUCCCUAGUUAUGAACAGUCUUUGACUGAAACCUUGUUGGUUUUCAAUUUUUGAUCCAAGUCCCUGAAAUUAAUUGAUAAUUUAUUUCUAUGUACAUUACUAUAUUUUUAAAUUAAAAAUUAAAAUUUAUAGUUGUUUAUAGUAAUGAGAUUUUAAAUAAAAAACCAUAAUUUGUGGGAUUAAAAAUAUUAAAAUAUAAAUAUACUAUUGUGUGUGUGUGUGUAAACAUGGGUACAUUCAUAAAAAAUAACCAAAAAAUUAUUGUAUCAAAACAUGGGUACAUUCUUCAAAAUAGGUACAUUUAGCAAAAAUAAAAAUGGGUACAAAUAAAUAAAAAAGUAUGGGUACAAUACAAAUAAAACUUUAAAAAAUAUGGACACAAAAAGAAAUUAAUAUAUGGGUACAAAUUAAAACUGAAAGGAAAAUUGGUACAAAUUAAAAAAGGGUUGCAAAUUAAAAUGGGUACAAAUUAAAAAAAAAAUAUGAUAAAAAAUUUAGCCAUAAAUAUAAAUAUACUAAUUGUAACAUUUUUAAUAUUAAAUGAAUAUAUUUAGAAAUAAAAAAUAUUUUAUUAUUGAAAUAAUUAAUGAUAUUAUUAAUACAAAGGACCUUGAUCAAAAAUUGAAAAGUAAUAAGGUUUUAAUCAAUAGAGUAGUAAAAAUAGGGAUGAAAACCUAAUUACUCCUAAAAUGAACUCAUCAGUUACCACUAGAAUAAUGUAAUAGACGACAUGUGCUAUACACACUAAUUAAUUUGGUCAUUAUACUACACAUUUAAGCUAAAAACCGUAGUAUAACAGCAUACGAAAUGUUAUAAAGUGAUGGAUAUAUCUAAUACAUGACAGUAAUACACAAAGGUUGUUUGGUAAUAGCCGUUGUCGGAUGCAAAUAUGUAUGACGGUGAAAAAAAUCGUUGUGGAUUAACUUUAUACUAUGACACACUUGAGCACAACAAUUUUGUGAACGACGGUAUUUCACCGUCGUCCAGUUACUUUUUUUUUUAUGAUUAUAAAUCUUGAUUCCACUGGUUUUGGAAUGGUAACGAUGAUCUAGUAGAAAAUUGGAAAGUAAUGUAGUUACAUUUUGUUAGAACCAAAAAGGAUGGCAAAGAGCUUUUGUAAAAGCAGUCUGAUUACAGUUGUAAACUGGGAGAAUUCUUAUUGAAUUGAAAUAACAUUUAUGGUUAUUAAAUAGCCUUACAAUGAAAUAGGAAAGGAAACAACAACCCACGAUUUUACAGGGCUUAGAAUCUGUUAAACAUUAAAGUUGAUAUUUUGGAGAAUCUAAAUAGCCAUGUAUUUUUUGUUUUUUGUUUGUAUGUGCUGGCAGUGUCUAGAAUUAUCUUUUUGGGUAUUAUUUAUUAGGUCCAGCUUUAUUGUCUCUUAAAGAGAAAAAGAGGAGUCUUUAGAAAGAAACGAAAAGUCACUAGUUGUGCCUUUCCUCCUCCCUGUACCAGAUCUUUUUUGUGUGUGCAGAAAAUAGAAGUUGGAGUAUUUUUUUAUUCAUCUCUUUAGCUUGUUCUUCUUUACAUCUUUGUGUGUUGAUCUUGGGCUAGUGUAUUGUAUUACACUAUUGUUGUUAUUUACAGAAUCGUGGUGCAUGACUAAGUCAGAAAUGGAAAAACAAUCUUGUCCCUCAAGUAUAAGAGGGAUUAUAUGUAGGGCUGGAAAAAAAUCCCAAAAAUCCCAAACCAAACCAAAAAAAUCCCGAUCCCAAACCAAAAAAAUCCCAAACCAAAAUUCCCGAAAUUUUCAGGAUGUCAUCCCGAACCAAACCGAAAUUUUCGGUAUGGGAUUCGGUACUGCAUCUCCAUUUUUCGGUAUUCCCAUACCGAACCGAAAAAAAAUUAUAUAUAUAUUAUUUUUUAAUUGUAAGAGAAUUAUUUCAACCAUUGAUUAUUUUGGAUUUAAUAUGUGCCGUUGAUUUGUUUUUAGGUCAGAUCCAAAUGGUACUCUACUCUUUCCGUUCAUUUGUUUCCAUCCAUUGAAGUCUCGAAACGCAGCCCUCCCUCACCGAGCCCUCAUCUCUCAUCUAAUCUCUCAUCGAACUCGAAGUCACUCUCACGGUCUCACCUCACCCCAAAUUAGGUAAUUAAUUUAGUGUUUUGAAACCUAAUUUAUGUCUUCCUUUUGAAAUUUAAUUUAGGGUUUGAAUCUUGAAUCUUAAUUUCUGUCUUCGUUUUGAAACCUAAUUUCAAUCUUGAAUCUUCCCUUACUGGUUUCAAUUUUGAAGAGUGAAUGUUUUUAUGCGCUGCAUGUUUGCAGGAUUACCAGAUUGCUGCGGCUACCAGGAUUACCAGGUUUAUGCGCUGCAUGUUUUUUGCAAGUCUCAUCCUCUCCCAAAUGAAAUUGGUAUGUAGAAGGGAUGUAUGGGGAGAAAAUGCAAUAUCUUUCGAUGUUUGAAUAAAUACGACAAAAAAUUUGAUUGAGUAUCAGUGAAAAGCUUGCAGUAGGAUCAUCUUCAGAUUGUGAAUAUGUGUGUUCUACGUUUAAAUACUCUAUUGAGUCCCAACUGCUUACCUGUACAUAAUGCAUUAUGCAGUGGCUCCCCAGAGACAGAGCAUUGUGGAUGGAAUGAGGAUGAUAGCACUCAAACUUGAAUUUGGUGUAUCCCACAAUCAGAUAUUUGAGAGGUAUUUUUCUUUUAUUUUGUUCUACUUUUUGUUCUUAUCUUUCAAAAUUGUAGAUGUCUUUUAUUGAUUAUUAAUUUGUGCAGGACCCUAGCAGUGCAUUUUACAGAUCCUUUCCAUGUGAGCAAACGGGUUGCAGAUAAAUGCAAUGAUGGUACUUUGCUUCUCUAGGUAUGUGUGAUAUGGUUUUCAAAACUACACUUCUGUAUGUAACUUUACUUAUGCAUCCCUGGCUAGGUGAUUAGAUAAUAAGACGUGAAGUGUGUGACAUCCUAUUCCUAUGUGUUGAAACAUGGAAAUUGUUUCUGUUUCACCAGAUGGAUAUUAAUCACUUACUUUCUGAUGCAGGGUGUUGAUCCAAGUAUUCGAGCUGAAGUGUGGCCGUUUCUUCUUGGAGUGUAAGUAUUUUCAUAUCUAUGCGAUUGCUUUAAUGCUUCAAGUUUUGUAUGUGUUAUAUGAAAAUUAGUUAGUAUACGAUUUUCAAAUUUUCACCCUGGUUUUUAUUUGCUUUGUAGUUCAAAUACACGAUAUAUGCUCAGAUUUUUCUAUGUUGAAUGCUCAGAUUUUAUUUGCUUUGUAGUUCAAAUACACGAUAUAUGCUCAGAUUUUUCCAUGUUGAAUGCUCAGAUUAUUGAUUGGAAUUUGGAUAUAUGCUGAACUGUGGUUGUGAUAUAUAUUAAUGUGCAUUGUUAUUUUAUUUGUUAAGUAGGAUGAACGGGUCUAGUAGCCAAUCUAGUGCACAUAUGGUCUCGGUAUUAGGGGCCGAAGAGGCCAACAAUCUUCAUAAAUUUUAGGCUUUGUUUUUUUGCUUUUGGUUUGUAACUUAAUUAUUGAAACUUUGGCUUGGAACUAAUUUUUUUGCUUUUGAGUUUGUUACUUUAUUUAUUUUAAAACCUUGACUUGUAACUAAUAUUUUUGCUUUUCGAUUUGACUUGUUGUACGUCACUAUGGGCUGUUGAAUAUAUUUGGCAAAUUGCUUUAAAAUAGAUUUGUACACAGAUUUGACAUGUGUAGUAGAAAUAAAAUUGUUUUUUGUUGAAUUAGGUUAAGCCCAUAUGGGCUGUUGAAUUGAGUGACUAUACAAUUGGACAUAUUCAUUACUAGGCUGGGUGGACAGAUUUUGGGCAUGGCCCAAUAUUGGCUUUUUGUCCAAAAGCCCAAAACCAUUUCGGGAUUCCCGAUUUGUCCCGAAAUCACGAAACUAUUUUGGGAUUCCCGAAAAUUUGGUUUGGGAUCGGUAUUGAAAUUGAGAUUCCCGAAAAUUUUGGUUUGGGAAUCGGGACAAGGGUUUCGGUAUGGGAUCCCAUACCGAACCACCUCUAAUUAUAUGCAUGACUUGAAUCAAACCCUAAAAACAAGGAACCCUAACCCUAAUGGGUAGGAAGUCCCAACAACUUUAACAUCAUCCAUUAAGCUGAAUGUCAUUGGCAAUCAAUUGAUUCCAGGGUAUUCGCAAACACCCAUUCAACCUCGCAUCUUCGAAAACAUUUCAAGCUACAAUGGUUUUGUCAAGAUAUCUACAAUUUGCUCCUGAGUAGAACACUAUAUUAGCUCCACUACUUCAUCUUGGACAAGAUCACGAAGAAAAUGAAUAUGGACAUCUAUGUGCUUGCUACGGCCAUGCAUCACUGGAUUCUUCGAGAGUUUGAUGGCUGAAGUACACUACCGUAGGAUUGGAUUGCACAUGAUUUAGAAUUUUCAAAAUUCUUCUCUGGCACACAACUUCAUACACACUUGAUGCUGCAACAAUAAACUCUGCUUCUAUGGUGGAAAGAGUAACUAUGGGCUGUUUCUUUGAAGACCAAGACACUGCACCCGAAUUCAUCAUAAAAACAUAACUUGAAGUGCUCUUUUUGUCAUACUGAUAUCCAGAAUAAGCGUUGUCUAUGUAGCCAAAGAGCUCUUCAUCUCCUCAUUUCUUAAAGACACCCCAAAGCUAGUUGUGCUCUUCACAUACCUUAGAACUCUUUUUGCUGCCAUCAAAUGAGUCUAUGUGGGACGUUCCAUGUACAUACUAGUUAAGCUUACAACAAACAUUAAAUCAGGACAUGUGGCAGCUAGAUACAUAAGAUUUCCCACCAUCUACUUGUAAACCUUGUCAUCGACUCCCACUCAUUAUUCAUCCCUUGUAAGCUUAAACCCAAAAACCACUAGAUUGUGCACUGAGUUGCACUAGUCCAUAUUAAAUCUCUCCACAAGUUCUUGAGCGUACUUCUGUUAGCUAAUAAAGAUGUUAUCUAAUAUUUGCAACACUUCAAUGCCAAGGAAAUAUCUCAUUUUCUUGAGAUUAGUCAUAUAAAAUUCAACCAUCGUGGACUUCUUAAAUUGUUCGAACAUAACUUCAUCAUUGCCAGUAAAUAUAAGAUCAUCAACAUAAAGACACUUUCAAUAAUUUACCUCCAUCCGUUGUUUUAAUGAACAGAGUAUGCUCGUAGGACAUUUGUUGAAGCCUUCCUUAACAAAGUAUGACUCUAUACGACUGUACUAGGCUCAGGGAGCCUGUUGAGUUCAUACAAAGCCUUCUUGAGCAAAUAGACCUUGGAUUUAUUCCCCUUUUGUUCAUAACCAGGAGGUUGAUCGACAAACACCUUUUCAUUAAUUUCUCCAUGCAGAAAGGCUGAUUUGACAUCAAGUUGGUAAAUCAACCAACUUUUCUGAGUAGCAAGGGAAAGUACAAUUCGAAUUGUAUCCAAGUGAGCCACUGGUGUGAACACUUCAGCAUAAUCUACCCAUAUUGUUAGAUGUAUCCCUUAGCGAAUAGCCAUGCCUUAUACUUGUCGACUUCCCUAUGCUCAUUGAGUUUUGUUUCAAGACCCACUUCACUUCAAUGGUUUUUGCCCUAAUGGUAGAUUCGUUAGUUCUCACAUCUCAUUCCUCUUUAUAGCUUCAAUUUCUUGAUCCAUAGCUUACCUCCAUUUUUCACAAUAUCCUCAAAUGUCUAGGGAUAACUGUCAGUGAACAAAGCUAGAUGAGCUAUGUUUACACCUUCUUCAUCAAAGAAACCUUGACCAGUUUCAUAAUCUCCCAUCCACACUGGUGGUCUUCGUGUUCGUCCUUUUGUGAGGUGAGUUGUCAUUAUUCAAGGUGUCUUCUUCUUCUAAAAAGUCACUGCUAUCAGUCCUACCGUCCUCCAAUUCUUCAUUAGCUUUAGACUCAUCUCCAUUGCCUUUAUCUUUUAUACUUGCUUAUUCGUUAGUUUCCCAUUCAAGAUCAGCCAAUAUGGCUUGCUUGUGACUGCAUCCAUACUCCAUUUUUUAUCUUCCUUAAAGACCACAUCUCGGUUUACAAUUAUUUUGUGAAAUGGGAUCAAUCUGCCUGUAAGCUUUAGACUCUUCACUUACUCCAAGUAAUAUGCAUUUGAGACUCUUGGCAUCAAGCUCCACUCUCUUGUUGUCAGGUAUAUGAGCAUGGAUAUGCAUCCAAAGAUUCUGAAAUGCUCCACUAAUGGUUUAAGUCCGCUCCAACCUUUUUAGGUAUUUCUCUCUUCACAGCAAGGGUCCGACUUCUAUUCAGCACAUGAACCAUCCAGUUUACAGCUUCAUACCAAUAAGUUUUAGAAAUUUUCUUCUCAGGCGACAUGCUUUGUACCAUAUUCAUAAUGGUUCGAUUUUUCCUCUCGGCAACACCGUUUUGUUAGGGAGUAUAUGUAGUCGUCAAUUGCAUGUGUAUUCCAUUCUUAUUACAGAAGUUUGUGAAUUCUUAUAAUGUGAACUCGCUCUCACGAUCUGUUCUAAAACUCUGUAUGAAUGCUCUAGUUUCAUUCUCGACCCUGGCUUUGUAGGUUUUGAAUGUGGCAAAGGCUUCUGAUUUUUCUACCAAGAAAUAAACCCAAGUUUUUCUACUGAAAUUGUUAAUAAAGGUGAUGAGAUACCUUUUCUUGCUGUUCGAGAUUGGAUUUAUCAAACCAUAUAUAUCAGCAUGCACCAAUUGAAGAAUUUUGAAGGCUCUCUAUAUACUUUCCUUUGGGAAUGGAUCAUGGUGUUGUCUUCCCACCAAACAGUCUUCACAUAUUCUCUAAGUAGCUUUGAACUGAGGUUACCCUUCAAUCAUCUUCUUUUGUUGAAGUACUUUGAGUCCAUUCCAGCUAAAAUGUCCAUAUUGACAGUGCUAAAGCAUGGCUUGAUUUGUGGUCUGUGAGGAGAAAUAUUUUUGCUCUCUUAGUGGACAGCGAGCAAGCACAUCAAGCAAACAUUCUAUUAUAUGUUAUCUCAGGAUGAAAGAUCUUACAUUUUCCAUGUUGAAUAAGCACAACGAGUCUCUUCUCUUGUAGUUGCUCGAUGCUUAACAAGUUGUUCUUCAGUUCUGGUACAAAGAAGACUCAUGUGAUCACAUGUGCAAUCUCAUUCACCUUUAUUUGAACCUUGCCUUUACUUCGUACAAUAAGGCUCGAGUCAUUUCUCAGCUUCACAGACUCUCUGAAAUUUCUAUCAAAUUCAAAAAAUAUGUCUCUUUUGCCACACAUAUGGUUGCUAUACCCAGAAUCAAGGAACCAAAUGUUCUCUACUUCAUCUUUUUUAAAGUCCACAUGGACCAUCAACAACAUCUCUUCUUUUGUUUCUGCGUAGUUUGCCUUUGGAUCCCUUGCUUUCCUUGGACACGUCCACUGAAAAUGCCCUAACUCAUGACAAUUAUAGAUUGUAAUGUAGAUUUCUCAAACUCAAAUCUACCUCUACCUCUUCCUCUUCCUCUUCCUUUUCCUCUUCCUCUUCCACGAUAAGUACUUUGACCUCCACAUUUUCCUCCUUGCUAAGCUACAUAAGUGACUUGCAGUGCUUGUUCAUCCGGCUGAUUCUUUGUUCAUGCACCAACAGGUUACUCUGAAGCUCGUCUAUAGACAAGGUUCAUUCGAUUCCUCAAUCAAACACACAACAUAAUCAUAUUUUGAAGUCAUAGACCUCAAGAUCUUCUCAGUGAUCACCACAUCCUCCAUUUUCUCUCUGUGAACCUCAUUUUAUUAGCUAUGAUGAGAGUUCUUCCAAAGUAGUCAUUGACUUAUUCCCCAGCGUUUAUGUGUAUCACUUUAAACUCUUCACAAAGAGCUUGCAAUUGGGCACACUUGACACAUGCCGUUCCUUGAUAUUUCUGCUUCAAAGAAUCUCAUAUAUCCUUCGCGGUAUCCUUCUUCAAGCACCACCACCUAACAAUCUUCAUCUCAAAUCCUAGGCUUGGACGAGAUCCUUCUCUCUUCCUUUUUCUUUUCCUUUGCACAGUAGUGCCUUUACUAUGCAUCCCUUUCUUUGGCAAGUUAUCACCGUUUUCGGCGAAGGUAAGCCACGAACUCCUUCGAUCUUCCUCCCUCGUGGUCUAAAGUAUUUGUUUGAUGAUAAAUAAUGACUUUGGUGAAUGGUUUAAUCACAAAAACUGCUAUGGGAAUUUUUUUCCAUAUUCGGGGAAGUGGGAGACCGUGACUGUUUCGCCACUUUCAAGCCAUUUUUCAAGCCAGCUCCGAUCCUCAUUGGGCCUCGAAAGGGUAUAAAUCUCUUCCCUACAUUUCUAACUUUACAUAGGAUCUUGAAUCACUUGAUUUGUGGUUGUAUCGAGCUCGGAAUUAGCUCUGGGAGUUAAAUGAGAAACCUGCAAAAAUUGCAGAAAUUGUGAGAUCCCACAUUGGCCAGGGGAGUGGAUCAUCUAUGCCUUAUAUGUACAUUCUCACCUCUAAUUGGCACGAGGCUUUUUGGGUGCUCACUGGUUUCAGGUUUCAUCGAAACUCCGAAGUAAAGCGAGUUCGCGCGAGAGCAUUCCCAUGAUGGGUGACCCACUGGGAAGUUCUCAUGUGAGUUCCCAAAAAAAAACUGUAAGGGCGUGGUCGAGGCCCAAAGCAAACAAUAUCGUGCUACGGCGGAGGUGGGGCCGGGGAUGUGGUGAGAGCCCGGGUCGGGAUGUGAAAAUUUGGUAUCAAAGCCAAUCCCUGGCCGGAAGGGUGCCGACGAGGACGUCAAGCCCCUAAAGGGGGUGGAUUGUGAGAUCCUACAUCGCCCAGGGGAGUAGAUCCUAUAUGCCUUAAAUGUACAUUCCCACCUCUAAUUAGCAAGAGGCCUUUUGUAAGCUCACUGGCUUCGGGUUCUAUCAAAACUCGGAAGUUAAGUUAGUUCGUGCGAGAGCAUUCUCAUGAUGGGUGACCCACUGAGAAGUUCUCGUGUGAGUUCCCAAAAACAAAACCGUGAGGGCGUGGUCGGGGCCCAAAGCAAACAAUAUCAUGCUACGGCGGAGGCGGGACCCGGGAUGUGGUGGAGGCUCGGGUCAGGAUGUGAAAAUUUGGUAUCCAAACCAAUCGCUAGCUGGAAGGGUGCCAACGAGGACGUCGGGCCCCUAAGGGGGGUGGAUUGUGAGAUCCCACAUCGCUCAGGGGAGUGGAUCCUCUAUGCCUUAUAUGUACAUUCCCACCUCUAAUUAGCACGAGACCUUUUGGGAGCUCACUGACUUCGAGUUCUAUCGGAACUCCGAAGUUAAGCGAGUUCGCGCGAUAGCAUUCCCAUGAUGGGUGACCCAUUGGGAAGUUCUCAUGUGAAUUCCCAGAAACAAAACUAUAAGGGCGUGGUCGGGGCCCAAAACGGACAAUAUCGUGCUACGGCGAAGGUAGGGUCAGAGAUGUGGUAGGGGCCCUGGUCGGGAUGUGACAUAAGGCGAGUAUAGCGUACUCGUGGGCUCGUGAAGCACACGGGCCUCCACUAGGGGUACUAUGGAUGGCGUUGCCGAUGAUUUUUCCGGCCAACUUUCUAGUAACCCAACUUAGCACGUGGUGACUCGGGCCGUCACCCCGUGGCGGCGCAUGCGAUGGCGAGUAGGGAAACCCAAGGUCUUUCCUUUGGUUUUUCGACAUGCCAAAUUUGAAUCUGCCAUUCGUUUUACCAAAGUUUGUCGUUUUAGUAGAGUUUUAACAAAUGGUCCCUAAUUGUGUUUAGGUGCGUUGGUUUGAAGUGAUCCCAUCCUUCGUAGUUCGAAUGGCUCUUCGGUAGCAUAAUAUUUGUGAGUGGACCCCUUCUCAAAUUACAUGUUUUUAUAAAAAUAUUAGGCUUGCAUUCAUGGAAGGCAUAUAUUUAUAAUUCUACAUUUCAUGAAUUAAUUAUGUUUUAUGAUAAGUUUAUGAAUUUCUAAAUUUAUGUUUUACGAAGAAUUUAUGAUUUAUUUAAUUUGUUUUUUGAAGUAUUUACGAUUUAUCAGUUUAAGGUUUAUGAAAUUUUAUGCUUAUGAAAAUCAUGUUUAUGGAAAUGCUUAUGAUUUCUGAUGAUGAUGUUUUGAGCCCUAAGCUUUGGUAUGAGAUUUUGAAUUACAUUUUAUGUGCUUAAUUAGUGGGUAAUCAUACAACAUAUACACACAACACGAGUAUGUAUACGUUUAUGGCCAUAGGACACAAUGGAGGAAUAGUGAGAUAUUUACAACAUACUCCUAACUUCACUGGCGAAACCAAUGUCGGACAGCUUCACCUUUGAGUGAUGGGACCUACCAUGUUUCUUCACUGGCGUAACCCAGUGUCGUACAACUUCACCCUCAGGUGAUGGAUAUGCAUUCGAGCAACUACGAUGCCCCUAUAUAAGUACAUUAGUAUUUUGAUUUACGAGCUCUUUUAGUUUUGUCUUUGGGCGAUUUCAAUACCACUUUUAGAUAUGAUUUUAUUAUCUAUGAACGUUUUCGUGGCAUGUAGAGUUUCGGGAAAAACCUAUUACGUAUUAUUAUAUUGUUUUCAAAACGGGGGGUUAGUAUGUGCAAAAAGAAAACGGUUUUCUUAUUAUUACUAUUAUUAUAAACUCUGGUCCACUAACCUUUUGUUUUUGUGCCCCCUUCAGGACCUAGUGACGAGAAAUACGACUCGAGCAUCGAGGCAUUUCCCUUCUAGUGAUCUUGUUUUCUCCUCACUACGCAUGACCUUUUUAUGUAUAAUUGUAACUUUAUGUCUUUCAUUUCGCUAGCACUAUUGU
This 33027-nucleotide long non-coding RNA is filed under the name Malus domestica (apple). The record is from RNAcentral. Lineage: Eukaryota; Viridiplantae; Streptophyta; Magnoliopsida; Rosales; Rosaceae.